AAUGAACGCUGGCGGCGCGCCUAAUACAUGCAAGUCGAGCGAGAAGACGUAGCAAUACGUUUGUAAAGCGGCGAACGGGUGAGGAAUACAUGGGUAACCUACCCUCGAGUGGGGAAUAACUAGCCGAAAGGUUAGCUAAUACCGCGUACGCUCCUUGGACUUCGGUUCAGGGAGGAAAGCGAUACCGUGGGUAUCGCGCUCUUGGUUGGGCUCAUGUCCUAUCAGCUUGUUGGUGAGGAACGGCUCACCAAGGCUUCGACGGGUAGCUGGUCUGAGAGGACGAUCAGCCACACUGGCACUGCGACACGGGCCAGACUCCUACGGGAGGCAGCAGUAAGGAAUAUUG
This 346-nucleotide ribosomal RNA is filed under the name uncultured bacterium. RNAcentral's name for it is "bacterial SSU rRNA". It matches the Rfam family "Bacterial small subunit ribosomal RNA", at positions 29 to 366 of the family's 1533-position model. The record is from RNAcentral.